This 775-nucleotide ribosomal RNA is filed under the name uncultured Nitrososphaerota archaeon. RNAcentral's name for it is "bacterial SSU rRNA". It matches the Rfam family "Archaeal small subunit ribosomal RNA", at positions 27 to 808 of the family's 1478-position model. Lineage: Archaea; Thermoproteati; Nitrososphaerota. The record is from RNAcentral.
CUGCUAUCGGAUUGAUACUAAGCCAUGCGAGUCAUUGUAGCAAUACAAGGCAGACGGCUCAGUAACGCGUAGUCAACCUAACCUAUGGACGGGAAUAACCUCGGGAAACUGAGAAUAAUGCCCGAUAGAACACUAUACCUGGAAUGGUUUGUGUUCCAAAUGAUUUAUCGCCGUAGGAUGGGACUGCGGCCUAUCAGUUUGUUGGUGAGGUAAUGGCCCACCAAGACUAUUACAGGUACGGGCUCUGAGAGGAGUAGCCCGGAGAUGGGUACUGAGACACGGACCCAGGCCCUAUGGGGCGCAGCAGGCGAGAAAACUUUGCAAUGUGCGAAAGCACGACAAGGUUAAUCCGAGUGAUUUGUGCUAAACGAAUCUUUUGUUAGUCCUAGAAACACUAACGAAUAAGGGGUGGGCAAGUUCUGGUGUCAGCCGCCGCGGUAAAACCAGCACCUCAAGUGGUCAGGAUGAUUAUUGGGCCUAAAGCAUCCGUAGCCGGCUCUGUAAGUUUUCGGUUAAAUCUGUAUGCUCAACAUACAGGCUGCCGGGAAUACUGCAGAGCUAGGGAGUGGGAGAGGUAGACGGUACUCGGUAGGAAGGGGUAAAAUCCUUUGAUCUAUUGAUGACCACCUGUGGCGAAGGCGGUCUACCAGAACACGUCCGACGGUGAGGGAUGAAAGCUGGGGGAGCAAACCGGAUUAGAUACCCGGGUAGUCCCAGCUGUAAACUAUGCAAACUCAGCGAUGCAUUGACUUGUGGUCAAUGCAUUGCUGCAGGG